CAGCAGCCGCGGGAAUACGUAGGUCCCGAGCGUUGUCCGGAUUUAUUGGGCGUAAAGGGAGCGCAGGCGGUUCAGUAAGUCUGAAGUUAAAGGCAUUGGCUCAACCAAUGUAUGCUUUGGAAACUGUUAGACUUGAGUGCAGAAGGGGAGAGUGGAAUUCCAUGUGUAGCGGUGAAAUGCGUAGAUAUAUGGAGGAACACCGGUGGCGAAAGCGGCUCUCUGGUCUGUCACUGACGCUGAGGCCCGAAAGCGUGGGUAGCGAACAGGAUUAGAUACCCGGGUAGUCCCUGUCUCUUAUACA
This 301-nucleotide ribosomal RNA is filed under the name uncultured bacterium. RNAcentral's name for it is "partial 16S ribosomal RNA". It matches the Rfam family "Bacterial small subunit ribosomal RNA", at positions 509 to 808 of the family's 1533-position model. The record is from RNAcentral.